Molecule: ribosomal RNA, 442 nt
Filed under: uncultured Prevotella sp.
Lineage: Bacteria; Pseudomonadati; Bacteroidota; Bacteroidia; Bacteroidales; Prevotellaceae
Description: bacterial SSU rRNA
Rfam family: Bacterial small subunit ribosomal RNA
Source: RNAcentral
UGAGGAAUAUUGGGUCAAUGGGCGGAAGCCUGAACCAGCCAAGUAGCGUGAGGGAUGACUGCCCUAUGGGUUGUAAACCUCUUUUAUAAGGGAAUAAAAUACGGGACGUGUCCUGUUUUGCAUGUACCUUAUGAAUAAGGACCGGCUAAUUCCGUGCCAGCAGCCGCGGUAAUACGGAAGGUCCGGGCGUUAUCCGGAUUUAUUGGGUUUAAAGGGUGCGUAGGCGGACGGUUAAGUCAGCGGUAAAAUCGAGAGGCUCAACCUCUUCCGGCCGUUGAAACUGGCCAUCUUGAGUGAGCGAGAAGUAUGCGGAAUGCGUGGUGUAGCGGUGAAAUGCAUAGAUAUCGCGCAGAACUCCGAUUGCGAAGGCAGCAUACCGGCGCUCAACUGACGCUGAAGCACGAAAGCGUGGGGAUCAAACAGGAUUAGAUACCCUGGUAGU